Drosophila miranda is the source of this 344-nucleotide long non-coding RNA. RefSeq lists it as uncharacterized. Lineage: Eukaryota; Metazoa; Arthropoda; Insecta; Diptera; Drosophilidae. The record is from RefSeq and is a predicted model, not a curated record. The transcript is spliced from 2 exons.
CAUUUUUGUAGUGUGUUGCGUUCUUUGCUGGCAAAUGCUUUGAAAAAUCAAGGGGGACCAAAUCUGUUCCAAUCUCUGCUCUGCUCUUAAGGUUAUGCUUGGUUAAAGGUUAAAAGAGGUUCCAUUCAUUUUGGGGGGCUAUAUCUGGUUAAAUAGGUUUCUUUUGAAUCACAUUUCGAGUUUCAUAAUUUAACACAUGUUGCUACAACAAUUUAGGUAUUUUGAAAUUAAAUUGUACUUUUAACUUGUGUUCCUUUCUCCGCUCUAGUUUCCACUCCCUGUUUCUUUUCACUUCUUUUCACCGAACUCUGUCUAGAUCCUGUCCUCUGCCAGUAUCUCGUUGA